UAGCCUUUAGCAAUAUAAGUAUUAAAGGUCCUGCCUGCCCAGUGAAUAUUUUAAACGGCCGCGGUAUUCUAACCGUGCAAAGGUAGCGUAAUCACUUGUCUUCUAAAUAAAGACCAGUAUGAACGGCUAAAUGAGGACAAACCUGUCUCCUACAGUCAAUCAGUGAAACUGAUCUUCCAGUCCAAAAGCUGGAAUUCCAACACCAGACGAGAAGACCCUGUGGAGCUUUAAACCCACCUAGUAUCACACAACUAGCACAAAGUUUUAAGUUGGGGCGACUUCGGAAAAAAACAAAACUUCCGAGCACAGAACCAUAAAUUCAAACCUAAGGCACACAGGCCAAAGAAAAAAUUGACCCAGUCCACACUGACCAACGAACCAAGUUACCCCAGGGAUAACAGCGCCAUCCCCUUUAAGAGUCCAUAUCGACAAGGGGGUUUACGACCUCGAUGUUGGAUCAGGGCACCCCAAUGGUGCAACCGCUAUUAAAGGUUCGUUUGUUCAACGAUUAACAGCC
This 517-nucleotide ribosomal RNA is filed under the name Lerista borealis. RNAcentral's name for it is "partial 16S ribosomal RNA". It matches the Rfam family "Bacterial large subunit ribosomal RNA", at positions 1816 to 2595 of the family's 2925-position model. The record is from RNAcentral. Lineage: Eukaryota; Metazoa; Chordata; Lepidosauria; Squamata; Scincidae.